Molecule: ribosomal RNA, 254 nt
Filed under: uncultured bacterium
Lineage: Bacteria
Description: partial 16S ribosomal RNA
Rfam family: Bacterial small subunit ribosomal RNA
Source: RNAcentral
CACGUAGGGGGCAAGCGUUGUCUGGAUUUAUUGGGCGUAAAGAGCUCGUAGGCGGUUUCGUAAGUCGGAUGUGAAAACUCCAGGCUCAACUUGGAGACGCCAUUCGAUACUGCGAUGACUUGAGUCCGGUAGGGGAGUGUGGAAUUCCUGGUGUAGCGGUGAAAUGCGCAGAUAUCAGGAGGAACACCAAUGGCGAAGGCAGCUCGCUGGGACGUGACUGACGCUGAGACGCGAAAGCGUGGGGAGCAAACAGG